AGAAGAUUAAGUUAAUGGUAAACUGAAAGCCUUCAAAGUUUUUAAUGUUGGUUCAAGCCCAACAUCUUCUG
Molecule: transfer RNA, 71 nt
Filed under: Aplysina cauliformis (row pore rope sponge)
Lineage: Eukaryota; Metazoa; Porifera; Demospongiae; Verongiida; Aplysinidae
Also listed under: 2 other names
Description: tRNA-Trp
Rfam family: tRNA
About the family: Transfer RNA (tRNA) molecules are approximately 80 nucleotides in length.
Source: RNAcentral